CAUUGUGGUGGUUUUCUUUCUGGCACAUUUGUUAAGUUUUCAAAUGGGCCUGACUCUGCCACAUAUAUCAUAUAGGAGCUGGCAAAGGCUUGAUGGCAAAGAGAUCUCUUUCGAGCCUUUUCUGCAUCAGAGACGGCCUCCCACAUGU
This 148-nucleotide small nucleolar RNA is filed under the name Moschus moschiferus (Siberian musk deer). Its description in RNAcentral is "Small nucleolar RNA SNORA12 (ENSMMSG00000018841.1)". It matches the Rfam family "Small nucleolar RNA SNORA12". Rfam says of the family: U108 belongs to the H/ACA family of snoRNAs. The sequence is predicted to guide the pseudouridylation of the U372 residue in the 28S rRNA subunit. Lineage: Eukaryota; Metazoa; Chordata; Mammalia; Artiodactyla; Moschidae. The record is from Rfam by way of RNAcentral.